This is a long non-coding RNA of Daphnia carinata, 365 nucleotides long. RefSeq lists it as uncharacterized. NCBI's taxonomy places the organism in Eukaryota, Metazoa, Arthropoda, Branchiopoda, Diplostraca, Daphniidae. The transcript has 3 exons. The record is from RefSeq and is a predicted model, not a curated record.
AGAAUCAUGAAACUAGAGCAUGAUUUACCAUAAACCGUUUGGGAACCAACUUGUUAGCUGCCUUAUAACUAUCAUCCUUCUGAUGAAAACACAGCAUAACAGCUGUUAGAGUUACGUCAAGACAUUCAUCUCAAGAUGCAAGUACUGAGCUUUAACGGAUUUCAAUUUACAGAAGCACAACAUCCAAUUCUGUUGUUGAGUAGAUAACCAACUACACGCCCAGCUAUGAAUGGUAUUUAGAAAAUCCCAUACGUUGCUAGAAUUCCCUAUCCCACCCCAAUAAACAACUCUUAAAGAACAAAAAUAAGGUGCAUUUUGUUUCGUUUACAAAAACUUGGUUUUAAAAAAUUUUACUUGGUUUGUUG